AUUGAACGCUGGCGGCAGGCCUAACACAUGCAAGUCGAGCGGAUGAAGGGAGCUUGCUCCUGGAUUCAGCGGCGGACGGGUGAGUAAUGCCUAGGAAUCUGCCUGGUAGUGGGGGAUAACGUCCGGAAACGGGCGCUGAUACCGCAUACAUCCUGAGGGAGAAAGUGGGGGAUCUUCGGACCUCACGCUAUCAGAUGAGCCUAGGUCGGAUUAGCUAGUUGGUGGGGUAAAGGCCUACCAAGGCGACGAUCCGUAACUGGUCUGAGAGGAUGAUCAGUCACACUGGAACUGAGACACGGUCCAGACUCCUACGGGAGGCAGCAGUGGGGAAUAUUGGACAAUGGGCGAAAGCCUGAUCCAGCCAUGCCGCGUGUGUGAAGAAGGUCUUCGGAUUGUAAAGCACUUUAAGUUGGGAGGAAGGGCAGUAAGUUAACACCUUGCUGUUUUGACGUUACCAACAGAAUAAGCACCGGCUAACUUCGUG
RNAcentral lists this ribosomal RNA (484 nucleotides) under uncultured bacterium. RNAcentral's name for it is "partial 16S ribosomal RNA". It matches the Rfam family "Bacterial small subunit ribosomal RNA", at positions 30 to 507 of the family's 1533-position model. The record is from RNAcentral.